Molecule: non-coding RNA, 30 nt
Filed under: Mus musculus (house mouse)
Lineage: Eukaryota; Metazoa; Chordata; Mammalia; Rodentia; Muridae
Source: RNAcentral
UGGAAAGUCUCUCACCAUUAUCUGUAAGGA